Molecule: long non-coding RNA, 4758 nt
Organism: Salvelinus fontinalis (brook trout)
Lineage: Eukaryota; Metazoa; Chordata; Actinopteri; Salmoniformes; Salmonidae
Exons: 3
Source: RefSeq, a predicted model, not a curated record
CCCCCCCCCCCCCACACACACACACACACACACACACACACACACACACACACACACACACACACACACACACACACACACACACACACACAUAGAUACACACACAGACACAUACGCAGACAUACAGUACACUCCCACACACACACAAAGGGUUUUGUUCAAAUUGAUUCAGAACCACGGAGAGGGCUGCUACAGCUAUAACAGUAGAGACACUGAUACAGCUCUGCUGAGUGCUGCUGCUGAUGGAAGGAUCCAGAUCCAGAUGUGACCGGAGGAGGGGCGCAAGGCGAGUUGGGCAAGGGUGUGUGGCGUCAUCACACAUGAAUGCGCACACGCACGCGCACACACAGCCUAGUGUGUUUAACACUCUCCUCUCUGUAUCUCUGUAGUUAUUUACUGUAGGCUUAUUUCUGAAUUAUGUAACACAUGCUCUGUCUGCGCACUAUAGCCCGUCACACACACAAGUACACACGCACGCGCACACACAAACGCACACUACCGCUCCGUAGCAAUCACAUCUGUAGCCAUGAAAUGCUUUGAAAGGCUGGUCAUGGCUCUCAUCAACACCAUCAUCCCAGAAACCCUGGACCCUCUCCAAUUCGCAUACCGCCCUAACAGAUCCACCGAUGAUGCAAUCUCUAUUGCACUCCACACUGCCCCUUUCCCACCGGGAGAAAAGGAACACCUAUGUGAGAAUGCGGUUCAUUGACUACAGCUCAGCGUUCAACACCAUAGUGCCCUCCAAGCUCAUUACUGAGCUAAGGACACUUGGACUGAACACCUCCUUCUGCAACUGGAUCCUGGACUUCCUGACGGCCCGCCCCAGGUGGUGAGGUGAGGCAACAACACACCGCCACGCUGACCAUCAACACGUGGGCCUCUCAGGGCUGCGAGCUCAGUCCCGUCCUGUACUCCCUGUUCACCCAUGACUGCGCGGCUACGCACGAUUCCAACACCACCAGACACCACAACGGUGGUAGGCCUGAUACCCACACACAUACUACACUAACACACACACACACUCACACUACAUAUGCUCACACACACAAAACACACACCCACAUGCAUAUUGACGCCACGCACACAAACACUCAAACAUUGACACACUUUCACACUGCACAUACGACUGCACAUACGCUGUUGCUACUCUGUUUGUUAUAUAUCCUGAUUUCCUAGUCGCUUUUACCCCUACACAAAUGUACAUACUGUAUUACCUCAAGUACCUCAACUACUUCGUACCCCUGCACAUUGACUCGGUACUGGUACUCCGUGUAUAUAGCCUCGUUAUUAUUUUUAUUGUGUUACUAUUUCCUUUUUUUGAGCAAACAUUUGUCUUACUUUUCAACUCUACAUUGUUGGGAGUGGGCUUGUAUGUAAGCAAUUCACUGUGAAGUUUACACCUGUUGUAUUCGGCACAUGUGACCAAUAGAAUUAGAUUAGAUUUGACACACACACACACACACACACACACACACACACACACACACACACACACACACACACACACACACACACACACACACACACACACACACACACACACACACACACACACACAGAGCUCUGUAGAAAUCUGUACAGAGUUCUGGUGGUCGACACCAGAACUACACUGGACUUUGUGCAAACUGGAAACCACGUAUCCUGAGGGCACAUUUAUUGUAGCUGGGGACUUAAUUAAAGGAAAUCUAAGGAAAACGCUCCAGAAAUUCUAUCAGCACAUGGCCUUUGCUACUCACUGCGAGAGCGUUCUUGGCCAUCGUUAUUCUCCUUUCAGGGACAGCUACAAGGCCCUCUACCCACCCUUCCUUCUGGAAAUCUGACCACGCCUCUAUCCUGCUCCUCCCCCUUAUUGGCAGAAACUUAAGCAGGAAGAACCCGUGGUAAGGACUGUUCAACAUUGGUCUGACCAAUCGGAAUCUAUGCUUCAAGAUUGUUUUGAUCAGGCGGACUGGGAUAUGUUCCAGGUCGCCUCUGGGAAUAAUAUCGAAGUAUACACUGACUAGGUGACUGGAUUCAUCAGCCCACUGGGUUCAUACUGGGUUCAUACUGUGAUGAUUAGAAACCGUGGAUUGAUGGCAGCAUUCGUGCAAAACUAAAAGCGAGGACCAUCGCAUUUAACCACGGCAAGGUGGCUGGGAACAUGAACAUGUACAACCAGACCAACUAUGACCUCCGUAAGACAAUCAAAGUGGAAAAACUUUAGCAUAAAGACAACGUGGAGUCACAAUUCAACGGCUCAGACAUGAGAUGCGUGUGGCAGGGACUACAGACAAUCAUGGAUUAUAAAGGGAAAGCCAGCUACAUUGUGGACACCGACACCUCGUUUCCGGACAAUCUAAAUACCUUUGCCUGCUUCAAAGAAAACAACAGUGGGCCACCGACGUGGGCCCCACCACUCACUAGGACUGUGUGCUCCCGAUCUCUGUGGCCGAUGUGAGUAAGACAUAUAAGCAUGUUAACCCUCGCUAGGCUACUGACCCAGACUGCAUCCCAAGCCGCGUCCUCAGAGCAUGCGCAGACCAGCUGGCUGGAGUGUUUACCUAUGUAUUCAAUCUCUCACUAACCCAGUCUGUUGUCCACACUUGCUUCAAAAUGUCCACUAUCGUUCCUGUACACAAGAAACUGAAGGUAACUGAACUAAAUUACUAUCGCCCCGUAGGAGCUUACUUCUGUAAUCAUAAUGUGCUUUGAGAGGCUAGUUAAGGACCAUUUCCCCUCCAUCUUACCUGACACCCUAGACCCACUACAAUAUGGAUUGUGCCCCAACAGAUCCAUGGAUUAUGCAAUCGCCAUUGCACUGCACACUGCCCUAUCCCACCUUUACAAGAGAAAUACCUAUGUAAGAAUGCUGUUCAGCCUUCAACACCAUAGUACCCUCCAAGCUCAUCAUUAAGCUCAGGGCCCAGGGUCUAAACCCCUCCCUGUGCAACUGGAUCCUGGACUUCCUGAAGGGCCGACCUCAAGUGGUGAAGGUAGGCAACAACACCUCGGCCACGCUGAUCCUCAAAAUGGGGGCCCCACAGGGGUGCAUACUCAGUCCCUGUUCACCCAUGACUGCGUGGCCAUGCAUGUCUCCAAUCAUCAAGUUUGCUGAUGACACAACAUUGUUAGGCCUGAUUAGCAACAAUUACGAGACAGCCUACAGGGAGGAGGUGAGUGCCUUGGCGGAAUGGUUCCAGGAAAAAAAACUCUCCCUCAACAACAACAAAAUUAUGAAGAUUAUCGUGAACUACAGCAGACGACACAGUGCACACCCCCAUCCACAUCAACGAGACGGCAGUGGAGAGGGUCAAAAGCUUCAAGUUCCUCUGCGUGCAAAUCACUGAUGACCUGAAAGUUCCCUUUACACAGACAGUAGGGUGAAGAAGGUGCAACAGUGCUUCUUUAACAUCAGGAGGUUGAAGAAAUUCGGCUUGGCACCUAAGACCCUCACCGACUUCUACAGAUGCACCAUUGAGAACAUCCUGUCGGGCUGUAUCACCGCCUGGUACAGCAAUUGCACCGUCUGCAACCGCAAGGCUUUCCAGAGGAUGGUGAAGUCAGUCCAACACAUCAUCGGGGGCCCACUGCCUGCCCUCCAGGACAUCUACAGUGUCAAAGGAAGGCCAAGAAGUUCAUGAAAGACCCCAGCCUGUUCACCUGCUACAAUCUAGACGGUGGAGAAAGUACAGGUGCAUCAAUGCUGGGACCGAGAGACUAAUAAACCGAUUCUAUCUCCAGACCAUCAGACUGUUAAACAGUCACCACUAGCCGGCCUCUGCCCUGAACAUCAGACACUGUCACCAGCCGGCUACCACCCGAACCUGAGCCCUAGGACCAUAUGUCAGGACUACCGGGCAUGACGACUCCCUGCUGCCCCCAGUCCGCCUGGCCUUGCUGCUAUUCCAGUUUCAACGGUUCUGCCUGCGUUACGGAACCCCUACCUGUCCCAGACCUGCUGUUUUCAACUCUUAAUGAUCGGCUAUGAAAAGCCAACAGAUUUAUUCCUGAUUAUUAUUUGACCAUGCUUGUCAUUUAUGAACAUUUUGAAAAUCUUGGCUCUCUCUAAUUUUCUCCUUCUCUCUUUCUUUCUCUCGGAGGACCUGAGCCCUGGGACCAUACGUCGGGACUGCCGGGCGUGGUGGCUCCUUGCUGUCCCCAGUCCGCAUCGCCUUGCUGCUGUUCCGGUUUCAGCUGUUCUGCCUGCGGUUAUGGAACCGCCACCUGUCCCAGACCUGUUGUUUUUCAACUCUUAAUGAUCGGCUAUGAAAAGCCAACUGAAUAUUAUUCAUGAUUAUUAUUUGACCAUGCUUGUCACUUAUGAACAUUUUUGAACAUCUUGGCAUAGUUCUGUUAUAAUCUCCACCUGGCACAGCCAGAAGAGGACUGGCCACCCCUCAUAGCCUGGUUCCUCUCUAGGUUUCUUCCUAGGUUUUGGCCUUUCUAGGGAGUUUUUCCUAGCCACCGUGCUUCUACACCUGCAUUCUAGCUGUUUGGGGUUUUAGGCUGGGUCUCUGUACAGCACUUCGAGAUAUUAGCUGAUGUACGAAGGGCUAUAUAAAAUAAACUUGAUUGAUUGAUUGAUUGACUCUUAGGAGCUCGCUGCACCCGCUGUAACAUCUACUUAACUGUGUACUUGACCAAUAAACGUUGAUUAGAUUUGUGCGGUGGUUGUCUCAGUCUACAGCUGUGUCUGUCUCUAGGUCAUCAUUGGUAGGCCUAAUGGUUCACAUAGGUCAUCUGGACAAAAUGGUCAAAUAAAGGCUGAAUGAAAUCAAA